AAUACACGGUGCUGUGGCUGAGGUUAAUAAACGGUGCUGUGGCUGAGGUUAAUAAACGGUGCUGUGGCUGAGGUUAAUAAACGGUGCUGUGGCUGAGGUUAAUAAACGGUGCUGUGGCUGAGGUUAAUACACGGUGCUGUGGCUGAGGUUAAUAAACGGUGCUGUGGCUGAGGUUAAUAAACGGUGCUGUGGCUGAGGUUAAUAAACGGUGCUGUGGCUGAGGUUAAUAAAUGGUGCUGUGGCUGAUAAACGGUGCUGUGGCUGAGGUUAAUAAACGGUGCUGUGGCUGAGGUUAAUAAACGGUGCUGUGGCUGAGGUUAAUACACGGUGCUGUGGCUGAGGUUAAUACAUGG
This 353-nucleotide long non-coding RNA is filed under the name Salmo salar (Atlantic salmon). RNAcentral's name for it is "lncRNA (ENSSSAG00000117747.1)". The record is from RNAcentral. Lineage: Eukaryota; Metazoa; Chordata; Actinopteri; Salmoniformes; Salmonidae.